CGUAGGUGAACCUGCGGAAGGAUCAUUAUUGUAUAACCGAGGUGCGAGGGCUGUCGCUGACCCGAAAGGUCGUGCACGCCCGAGUGCCCUCACACACAUCCAUCUCACCCCUAUGUGCACCACCGCGUGGGUCCCCCUUUGGCUUGUUCGGAGGGGGGCUUACGUUUUCACACAAACUUUGAAUGCAGUGUAGAAUGUAUUUUUUGUUUUUGCGAUCACGCAAUCAAUACAACUUUCAACAACGGAUCUCUUGGCUCUC
RNAcentral lists this unclassified non-coding RNA (259 nucleotides) under plant metagenome. RNAcentral describes it as "partial contains small subunit ribosomal RNA, internal transcribed spacer 1, and 5.8S ribosomal RNA". The record is from RNAcentral.